UAUAAAUGUAUUUAUUUGACUAAGUUAGUAUUAGUUAUGUUCUUGAAAAUUAAAGAUUUUGGCGGUAUUUUAGUCUAUUCAGAGGAACCUGUUCUAUAAUUGAUAAUCCACGAUUUAAUUUACUUUUUUUAUUAGUUUACAUAUCGUCGUAAUUUGAAUAUUUUAUAAGAAUUUUAAUAUUCAAGAUUUAUUAUUAUAAAAUAAAUCAGAUCAAGGUGUAGUUUAUAAAAAAGUAGAAAUGGGUUACAUUAAUUAAAAUUAGGGAUUAUUAUUUUUAAAGUAAUAUGAAUUUGGAUUUGAAAGUAAUAUUGAUUAAUUAUUUAAUUUGAUUUUAGCUCUAAAAUAUGC
This 348-nucleotide ribosomal RNA is filed under the name Gonioctena linnaeana. RNAcentral describes it as "partial 12S ribosomal RNA". The record is from RNAcentral. Lineage: Eukaryota; Metazoa; Arthropoda; Insecta; Coleoptera; Chrysomelidae.